UGGGGAAUAUUGCACAAUGGGCGCAAGCCUGAUGCAGCCAUGCCGCGUGUAUGAAGAAGGCCUUCGGGUUGUAAAGUACUUUCAGCGGGGAGGAAGGUGUUGAGGCUAAUAACCUCAGCAAUUGACGUUACCCGCAGAAGAAGCACCGGCUAACUCCGUGCCAGCAGCCGCGGUAAUACGGAGGGUGCAAGCGUUAAUCGGAAUUACUGGGCGUAAAGCGCACGCAGGCGGUCUGUCAAGUCGGAUGUGAAAUCCCCGGGCUCAACCUGGUAACUGCAUUCGAAACUGGCAGGCUAGAGUCUUGUAGAGGGGGGUAGAAUUCCAGGUGUAGCGGUGAAAUGCGUAGAGAUCUGGAGGAAUACCGGUGGCGAAGGCGGCCCCCUGGACAAAGACUGACGCUCAUGUGCGAAAGCGUGGGGAGCAAACA
Molecule: ribosomal RNA, 427 nt
Filed under: uncultured bacterium
Lineage: Bacteria
Description: partial 16S ribosomal RNA
Rfam family: Bacterial small subunit ribosomal RNA
Source: RNAcentral